This 307-nucleotide long non-coding RNA is filed under the name Marmota monax (woodchuck). The record is from RNAcentral. Lineage: Eukaryota; Metazoa; Chordata; Mammalia; Rodentia; Sciuridae.
GGAGUUUACUCUUCCUGGCAUUGCUUGUAAAUGCUUCCGGCCCAAGUUCUUCCUCUUCAGUUACCUUUGUAUAAGUAUCAUCUGUGAGGACCCUCUCUGAUGAAUGUUGUAGAAGUAGAAGAAGAGUUCUUUGCUACAGUUAGGGGCAUCCAUGGUUCAUUGAACCAAGGCCACUAAGACAGUCUUGCCUGAGAAGGGGUCUAAGGACACUCAAGAGCCUCCUCCCUGAUCCCAUAGGGCCCCUCUGCUUGAGCAAUGACCCUCCCCCAUCCUUGCCCAGAUCCCAACCAGGCUCUGUACCUCCCCU